Molecule: ribosomal RNA, 730 nt
Filed under: uncultured bacterium
Lineage: Bacteria
Description: bacterial SSU rRNA
Rfam family: Bacterial small subunit ribosomal RNA
Source: RNAcentral
UCGAUUGAGUUUGAUCAUGGCUCAGGACGAACGCUGGCGGCGUGCUUAACACAUGCAAGUCGAGCGGAAAGGCUCCCUUCGGGGAGUACUCGAGCGGCGAACGGGUGAGUAACACGUGGGUAACCAACCCCUGACACCGGGAUACCCCGUCGAAAGACGGCUCAAUACCGGAUAAGGUGCGGAGACGCAGGUCGCCGUACCAAAGGUAGCUUCGGCUUCCGGUCAGGGACGGGCCCGCGGCCCAUUAGCUUGUUGGUGGGGUAACGGCCUACCAAGGCGACGAUGGGUAGCUGGUCUGAGAGGACGAUCAGCCACACUGGGACUGAGACACGGCCCAGACUCCUGCGGGAGGCAGCAGUGGGGAAUCUUGCGCAAUGGGCGGAAGCCUGACGCAGCAACGCCGCGUGCGGGAAGAAGGCCUUCGGGUCGUAAACCGCUUUCAGCAGGGACGAAGCUUCCGGGGUUAAUAGCCUACGGGGUGACGGUACCUGCAGAAGAAGGUCCGGCUAACUACGUGCCAGCAGCCGCGGUAAUACGUAGGGACCGAGCGUUGUCUGGAAUUAUUGGGCGUAAAGAGCGUGUAGGCGGCUUGGAAGGUCUCGUGUCAAAUCCUGCGGCUCAACCGCAGACCAGCACGGGAAACCACCUCGCUAGAGUCCGGAAGAGGAGAGCGGAAUUCCUGGUGUAGCGGUGAAAUGCGCAGAUAUCAGGAAGAACACCCGUGGCGAAG